This is a long non-coding RNA of Empidonax traillii (willow flycatcher), 868 nucleotides long. RefSeq lists it as uncharacterized. The record is from RefSeq and is a predicted model, not a curated record. The transcript has 5 exons. Lineage: Eukaryota; Metazoa; Chordata; Aves; Passeriformes; Tyrannidae.
GACUUGGGAGCAGCCCCAGGGAUUUUAUUUCGGGAUUUUGUCUCUGAGGAAGGACUUGGUCCUGUGCCAAACACUCCAAGGAUGCUGCUGCUUCUGCUCAGGGAUGGUUUAACUCAGAAGAAUUGAUCCUAAACAGGCACUCAUCACUUCCAGCUAAUUCCACCCUGUUUGCAAAUGGAACAGCUCUGCAGCUCAGAGGCCCUGACAGACUGAGACCACAAGUGGAACAGGCUUCUCCUGGAAAUCCUGAGGAUUGCUUUUGGCUUAGCACUGUCAGAGCACUUGGGUAGAAGGGAGAUUCACUCCAAGAGCGUGUGUGGGACAGCAAAGGGCUGCCAGAAAUGAGUGUUCCUGACCUUAAAUCCACAAGGAUCCUCUGUGGACACAACCCCAUCCCAGGAAUGGUGGGAGCUCAACAGAGGACCAGUAGGAUAUUUCUUCGAGAUAAGCGAUAAAAAUGGCAAGAUCUGGGAACUGGCUGGUGGAUGAGCUGCCUGGAGAUGUGCAGCAUUCCCAGGAGCUCUGGGAGAAGGCGCUUCACCCUUGGAGCUCUGGAAGCUGUGCCAGGGUUGCUGCUGCAUCUUUAGCAAAUCAAACUAUUUGCACGGUACUUGCUUCUUAAUCCAGGGAAAUUAAACCCACCAGUGGUAGCUGCGUUUUCCAGCCACCUGCUCUCCCAGGUGCUCCCACGCCCGCUCGGAGAUGGGAGAUGUGACCCAGAAUUCUUCUGCAGAGCUGGGAUCCUUCCCAGCACAGGCCAGGCUUCUAUCAGCUCCAGUAAAAAUCAAGAUCUGAUGGCAGAGCAUAUGUCCAUUGCAUAAUUCAUUAGAGUUCUCAGCAACUAUUUUUAGGUAUUUUUCAAUCGGAG